AGGGUUCGAUCCUGGCUCAGAACGAACGCUGGCGGCGUGCCUAACACAUGCAAGUCGAACGAGAAAGUUUCCUUCGGGGAACUAGUAAAGUGGCGCAAGGGUGAGUAACACGUGAAUAAUCUGCCUACGAAUUCGGGAUAACUCGACGAAAGUUGUGCUAAUACCGGAUAAGACCACACUUCAUAUGUAGAGUGGCCAAAGGAGUCUCAAACUCCGUUUGUAGAUGAGUUCGCGGACCAUUAGCUUGUUGGCGGGAUAACAGCCCACCAAGGCUACGAUGGUUAGCCGGCCUGAGAGGGUGAUCGGCCACACUGGAACUGAGACACGGUCCAGACUCCUACGGGAGGCAGCAGUGGGGAAUAUUGCGCAAUGGGCGAAAGCCUGACGCAGCAACGCCGUGUGAGGGAUGAAGGCUUUUGAGUCGUAAACCUCUGUCAGAUGGGAAGAAUUAUGACGGUACCAUCAGAGGAAGCCCCGGCUAACUCCGUGCCAGCAGCCGCGGUAAUAC
Molecule: ribosomal RNA, 508 nt
Filed under: uncultured bacterium
Lineage: Bacteria
Description: bacterial SSU rRNA
Rfam family: Bacterial small subunit ribosomal RNA
Source: RNAcentral